Vigna unguiculata (cowpea) is the source of this 2268-nucleotide long non-coding RNA. The record is from RefSeq and is a predicted model, not a curated record. Lineage: Eukaryota; Viridiplantae; Streptophyta; Magnoliopsida; Fabales; Fabaceae.
CGGUGUGAAGAAAGCUUCCUAGAGCUAAAGCAAAAGUUGACUAGCGCCCUAGUGUUGGUGAUUCCUGAUACUGGUAAACCCUUUGAGGUUUACUGUGAUGCUUCCCAUCAGGGGUUGGGAUGUGUUCUGAUGCAAGAACGGAGAGUAGUGGCAUACGCCUCACGACAGUUGAAGAAUCAUGAGAAGAACUACCCCACACAUGACUUGGAGUUAGCAGUAGUGGUGUUUGCACUGAAGAUCUGGAGACACUAUCUAUAUGGUGCACAAUUCCAGGUUUUUAGUGACCAUAAGAGUCUGAGAUACGUGUUUGACCAGAAAGAGUUAAACAUGAGACAGAGACGAUGGAUGAAGUUCUUGAAAGAUUUUGAUUUCGAGUUGUUGUACCACCCGGGGAAGGCGAAUGUGGUGGCUGACGCCUUAAGCAGAAAGGCAGUUCACGCAUCUCAUAUGAUGGUCAGGGAGUUAGACUUGGUGGAGCAGUUCAGAGAUAUGCGGUUACAAGUGGUUUUAGAUGAGGGAGUCAUUAGAUGUAACCAUCUCACGGUGCCUAAUGAUUUCCUUACAUUGAUAAAGGAGAAACAGCCAUCGGACCCAAGCUACAAAGGACGGUAGAGUUGCUUGGCACUGAGAAGGCCAAGGAUUUCAUGAUGGGAGGUGAUAGGGUGCUGAAAAGUAUGAUUCUUGAGGAAGGACACAAGAGCCGUUUUAGCAUGCACCCAGGCAUGACUAAAAUGUAUCAUGAUCUAAAGGAAUCAUUCUGGUGGUCGGGCAUGAAGCAAGAUGUUGCUCGGUAUAUGUCAUCAUGUUUAACCUGUUAGAAGGCUAAGGCAGAGCAUCAGAGACUGGGAGGGAUGCUUCAGCAGCUUGAGAUACCCGAGUGGAAAUGGGAUAGCAUUGUUAUGGACUUUGUCACCCAUUUACCCGGACCGUGAGGAAUCACGAUGUUAUAUGGGUUAUAGUAGACCAUCUCACCAAGAGUGCCCACUUCCUAGCAGUAAACUUGAGGAUGUCCAUGGCGAAGCUGGCACAGUUGUAUAUCAGUGAGAUCGUGAGGUUGCAUGGUGUGCCGUCGAGUAUAGUCUCCGAUAGAGACCCACGAUUCACCUUUCGCUUCUAGCAGACGCUAUAGGAUGCUAUGGGUAGCAGGUUGGCUAUGAGCUCCGCUUAUCACCCUCAGACUGAUGGGCAGUCCGAGAGAAUCAUCCAGUCUCUUGAGGAUCUCUUACGGACAUGCGUGCUGGACCAUUUGGGUGCGUGGGAUGAGGUCCUGCCUUUGGUGGAGUUUACAUAUAAUAACAGCUUCCAUACCAGCAUUGGCAUGGCACCUUAUGAGGCCCUCUAUGGCAGGAGAUGCAGAACGCCUUUGUGCUGGUACCAGGACGGGGAAUCAGUGGUGGUGGGACCAAAGCUUCUGAGGCAGACUACUGAGAAAGUCAAGCUCAUACAAGAAAGAAUGAAAGCAUCUCAGAGCAGACAGAAACCCUAUGCUGAUCAGAGGAGAAGACCCUUGGAGUUUGAAUCGGGGGAUCAUGUCUUCUUGAAAAUUACCCCGACCACUGGUAUGGGAAGGGCAAUUCGCCAGAAGAAGUUGUCUCCUAAGUUCGUUGGUCCAUACCAGAUUCUGAGAAGAUUUGGACCAGUGGCGUAUGAGAUCGCCCUACCUCCUCCCUUAGCCAACAUCCACUAAGUGUUUCAUGUCUCACAGCUCCGGAAGUAUGUGCCUGACCCUUCUCAUGUGCUUGAGAUGGAAGAUUUGUAGAUUAGGGGAGAUCUCACAGUGUAGGUUCAACCCGUUGGUUUACGAGAUGUUCAGAUGAGGCAGCUCAGAGGGAAGUCCAUCAGACUAGUCCAGGUCAUUUGGGACAAGAGGACAGGUGAUUCCACUUGGGAAUUAGAAAAAGACGUGAGAAAGUCAUAUCCACACUUGUUCUCUGGUUCUGGAGAAGUAACCACGCCUGAGCCUCCUGCUGCCUCCACUCUUAGCCUCCCUUCUUCUAGGUUAAGCUAAGGAAUUCUGCUCCUCCUCUCUUAAGUUGCCUUCACUCAAGUAUUCACCCAAAAAUAGAUAUAGGUGCAGGUGAGGAUACACCACUCUUGGACAGGAGUUGAGUGGGUUCCGGGACGUCUCCAGUAGUAGUUGUCAUCUGUUAUUCCUCUUAGAUGCUUAGGGUGUUUUGUAACCCUUUUGUUUAGUAAAGGCUGUAUGUAUAGACAAUAUAUGUAUAGUUAUUUUGAGGAUGACUGUAUCGUUACCUAUACUGGCCUAUU